AACGAACGCUGGCGGCGUGGAUAAGACAUGCAAGUCGAACGGGAUCAUUGGAGUAGCAAUACAACAGUGGUCUAGUGGCGAACGGGUGCGUAACACGUGGAUACAUUCCGGGAAGCGGGGGAUAGCCCAGGGAAACUUGGAUUAAUACCGCAUGUGGUCGAAAGACUAAAGGCAGGGACCGCAAGGCCUGCCACUUCCCGAUUGGUCCGCGGCCUAUCAGCUAGUUGGCGGGGUAAAAGCCCACCAAGGCUACGACGGGUAGCUGGUCUUAGAGGACGACCAGCCACACUGGAACUGAGACACGGUCCAGACACCUACGGGUGGCAGCAGUCGAGAAUCUUUCACAAUGGGGGCAACCCUGAUGGAGCGACGCCGCGUGGAGGAUAAGGUCUUCGGGUUGUAAAGCUCUUUUUGUCAGGGAAGAAACGGUUGUGGCUAAUAUCCAUGGCUAAUGACGGUACCUGAAGAAUAAGCACCGGCUAACUACGUGCCAGCAGCCGCGGUAAU
Molecule: ribosomal RNA, 507 nt
Filed under: uncultured bacterium
Lineage: Bacteria
Description: bacterial SSU rRNA
Rfam family: Bacterial small subunit ribosomal RNA
Source: RNAcentral